CCCACAGGCCGUAAACCCAAGGUUUCCAGGGGAAGGUUCGUCCGCCCUGGGUUAGUCGGGACCUAAGCUGAGGCCGAAAGGCGUAGGUGAUGGACAACAGGUUGAUAUUCCUGUACUACCGAUAACCGUUUGAGAGAAGGGAUGACACAGUAGGAUAAGCUAAGCACACUGUUGGUUAUGUGUGCCCAAGCAUUGAGGCAGUCAAAGUAGGCAAAUCCGCUUUGAUAAUGCUGGGAUGUGAUGGGGAGCGAAAUU
RNAcentral lists this ribosomal RNA (255 nucleotides) under Clostridioides difficile. RNAcentral describes it as "partial 23S ribosomal RNA". It matches the Rfam family "Bacterial large subunit ribosomal RNA", at positions 1329 to 1580 of the family's 2925-position model. Lineage: Bacteria; Bacillati; Bacillota; Clostridia; Peptostreptococcales; Peptostreptococcaceae. The record is from RNAcentral.